UACUUUUCAUUUUUGGAAAAUUUUUUUGCAUUCAUCUUCUCUGCCCAAAUCAAUUUUUGCAUCUAGUAUAGCUUCAUCCAAGUAGAAAAAAGAAGAUGAUGAAUUUUUGCUAUUUUAUUUGGAGUUAUGUUAAUCAUCUAACAAGCAAAAAUUUACCUAUGUUGUUAAAGGAAAUGAUUUGGACAUGUUGAUAGAAAAUGUACCUGGCAUGGAAGAUCUUCUACGGCGUCGAGAUUUUCCAUUCUAUCGCCUCACCGAUUGUGCAACCGACCUCUAUUGUCAACUUGCUCUCAAGGAAAUCCAAAGUAUACCUCGAUCCCAUGGACUCAUAUUAAAUACAUUUGAAGAUUUGGACGGUCCAUUACUCUCUAACAUUCGGUCUCAUUGUCCACAAACGUAUGCGGUUGGGCCGCUACACUUGCAACUCAAAACUAGGCUUGCUGAUAAAACAAUGUCCUCUUCAAAUAGUUUGUGGGAAGAAGAUCACAGUUCAAUUCAAUGGCUUGAUGCACAGCCCAUAGAAUCAGUAAUCUAUGUAAGUUUUGGAAGUCUUGCAACUUUGACAAAGGAGGAAAUGUUGGAGUUUUGGCAUGGAUUAGUAAAUAGCGGAAUCAGAUUUUUGUGGGUCAUGAGGUCCGACUUAUUGAGGGAAGAAGAGUUCAGCCACCAACUUGUCAAGGAGCUAGCCGACGGUUGCAAAGAAAGAGCCUACAUAGUGAGUUGGGCUCCACAAGAGAAAGUACUAUCCCACCCUGCUAUUGGUGGAUUUUUAACUCACAGCGGAUGGAACUCGACUAUGGAAAGUAUUGUUGAAAGAAAACCCAUGAUCUGUUGGGCUGUUUAUGUAGACCAACGAGUCACAAGUAGAUUUGUGAGUGAAGUGUGGAAAAUUGGGUUGGACAUGAAAGACAUUUGUGACAGAGACAAUAUUGAGAAGGUGGUGAAAGAUUUGAUGGUAACAAAUAAGGAGAAAUUGAAGAAAUCAGUUGACAAGUUAUCUAUGUUGGCAGAAAUUAGUGUUGGAGAAGGAGGUUCAUCGUACAAUGCUUUUGAAUAUCUCGUCGAUGACAUUAAAAAGUUAGGAAGAAGAGACAAGGAUAUCAACCCUAACUGCAUAAGAUAAACAGGGUAAUACUACCAAUCAUUGUUUUGUAGUCAAAGAUUAUAUUUUUUUCUUGUUCUUUUACCGGAUACUGCAAGUUAUUCAUACAGGUACACUAGAUGAGAUAAAGCCUGCCUUAGCAUGGGUCGAGCUUAAUGUUAGUGUAUAAAAUUGUAUUUUUUUGCCUUUCAAAUAGGUUCCUCUUUAAAAAUUGAAGUCAUGUCUGACAUAAUUUUUCAUGCUCAAGUAGAAACUAGUAUGUUACAUUAGAAUUUGAUAGAAAGACUAGGAAGUCAGUCUCUUCAUUGUCUUUCUCCUUUCCCUAUUAUUCCAGCCUGAUAGUGAUGUAAAUACACCUUGUAUAAACUAGUAUGUUGCAACUUUAAAAUGCACGUUUCGGAGGAUACCUCUCACCCUUUCCUAUUCUUUGUUUCAAUAGACUCAUUCCAUGGGGUGUGAUUGUUUGAAACUAGUCCCAUUAUCCUGUUGUUGGCUGUUCUUGCACAACUUCAACUCCAUGGCAACUUGCUGAGACUGCUUCUUGUCUGGUGUCCACUUUUGCUGGAACUUCAAAUAUUAAGACAUCACUGUGCUUUGGACUUUGGAAUAGCUUUAACACACUGUUUAUGAAGGCCAGCCUGCCUCCAGAGGAUAGAUACUGCCUUUUCCAUGUGGCUUAGCCUUCUUUAAAAGAAAAUCCACCACUUGAUAUUCAUUGUAGUUGUUCUUUUAUGUUUUGCUCCUUAUAGCAGUCCUAGCUUUGAUUUACGCCUUACGAUUCCUGCUGCUGAAUGUUUAGUGAAGUUCCCAGACAAAAUUGCAGAAACUUAGCAGUGAGGAAAAAGUUUUUGUUGUAUAUAGCAUACCUUAAAAUUUCUAUUAUUCAACAACGUAUAUUGAUGCUUUUCUAUUCAUUCAUGACCAAAUGUUUGAGAAAUUAGCUUAGCUCUCCUAUUUAUUUUGAAAUCUAGACAUUGUGAGCAUGCGUGUAGUUUUUUGGGAAUAUUUGGUUGUCAUUGACAACAAAUCUAGUAUAUACCUCCAGAUGUUCAUGCCCUUUCUCCUUACCAUGUACAGAGUGAGAUUUAUCACUUAGGUUUAACCUCAUUUCUUUAAAUCAUGACAUGAAUAUCAUUUAUAACCCUCAGCUAGGCAUUAAUCAAAUGUGGAUCUUUGAAUAUGCUCCAGGAUAUUCUAAUCUAUUCGUAAUCACUUAAUUUAAGACUUAAAAAUGAAAAAUUAAUUGAGAUAUCCGCAAAACUUAUGUAAACGAUAUUAUUCUUUAAAAAGAUAAUUAUAUGAAAUAAAAAGGAGCAUUAGCUAGACUUCAAAACAUGAAAAGGACUUGAAAUGUUUCAAGAAGAUCUUGAAUACUCAAAACAUAUAAGAAUUUUGCAAGCAUCACCACAAACGUCAGCCCAUAUCUUUAGACUAAUUAUAAGAUCGUAUUAACACCUUUUUAUAGUAUAGAUUAAUAAAACGGAGUUGGACAUGCCCAUUCGCCUUAUUUAGAGAGUUAUCUUAGUCAAAGUCGAGAUAUAUUGCUAUAAUAUAUCAAAUUUUGAACACUUUUAAUGAAAUUGCUGAUUUUCAUCACUGAAUAUAGUAAAAAGUUUGUUUUGCUUUUUUUCUCCUUUGGCCUUACCGUAUAAGUAACCUCGAUUGAUACUUCCGUUUAAAUAGCAAUUGCAAGUGUAACUGAAAAAUCUUAUCCUCCUUGGACUUUUUCUAUGAGCAAGCAACAUAUUAAAUUUUAAAUUCUUUGUGACAGAAGCAAAACAUUUCCUUAAUCAACACACAAAAUUGAGGAUUACGACUUUGAAUUUAGAAAGGCUCUGCUGUCGACAUCCAGAUAAGCAAUUUGGUUGGGACUUUAUGACAAUCUUUAACGUAAGGCCGUUUAUACUUAAGUUAUAUACACAAACAAUUUAUUUAAACAUUGAGUAUAUAACAUGUUAUUUACUUCUGUUUACUAUAUACAGUUGCCAAUUUUACAAGUAAACUAAAUUAGAUUUAAAAUUCUAUAACAUAUAAUAUUAAGUCUUCCCAUAAAUCAUAAUCAUACCACGCCAAAAAAGCUUAGUCCCACUAGCCUUAGAUUAUCACAAACUAAAGAAAACUCAACUCCCCAUUGCCCCUCCAAUAUGUCAAAUAUUUUACAACAAAAAAUCGUGUCUCAUUUCUUUUCUUGCUUUCUAAUCAGAGCCAGAUAGAAUUUUGUCCUGAUGGAAUUGAAUAACUUCUUUCCCACUUCGUCUUAUACAAAAAUAUUUAUCUUCCCAUAGUAAGGUACAAUCAUCACACAGACAGUAAAAUACCAAUCGUUUGGUAAAUAAAAUAUAAUCCAGGAUUAUAUUUAUAGCGCCAUAAAUCACGUGAGAUAAUAAUUUUAUUUUAAAAGAAGUUGAUUCAUAUCAAACGAUCCCUUUAUUAGAAAAAUCAUAUCAUUGAUUUAGUGAACACCUUAAAUAAUUCAUGGUGGGUCCAUAUUCGUAGUGAUAGGUUCAAUUUCAGGGAUGAAGAACUGAUCAGUUGAAUAUUUUUUUUUUUUUUAGAAACUAGAUCACUUAUAUAGUUCAACAUUACUUUCUAUACAUUUAUUUUAAAAUCUUAAAUAUUUAUUUCGAGUUGUUAUAAUUAACCAUAUCAAAUAACAUACCCGAUAUAAUCUGAUAAAAAUAUAAAUAUAACUAGUUAUUUUUAGAAUUAUAAUUUUCAAAAUUUAAUAUUUUUGAAAUUCGGUUUAACCGGUUAAUUAUACACUAGAAUAGGCCACUAAAUAAAAGCUUUUCUAGUACAUUUCCACAAAUUUACACGCACACGCACUAACAAAAAAGUUAGUUCCUUGUCCAUAUAAUUAUACCAAAAUAUAAGUGGAGGAACCAUAGUACAAAAAAAAUAAAAAUAUCAAGAUUCUCUUGAAGAAAAAAGAAAAUGGGUAACAACAUAGGAGGAACUACGAAGAAGACAAAGGUAAUGAAGAUUAACGGCGAAAUCCUUAAACUGAAGACACCAAUAACAACGUUAGAGGUAGUUAAAGAUUACCCAGGUCAUGUUUUAUUGGAAUCAGAAGCAGUGAAGAAAUUUGGGAUUAGAGCUAAGCCAUUAGAGCCAGAACAAGAGCUGAAGCCGACCAAAAUAUAUUUUCUUGUAGAAUUGCCUCUGUUUCCUAAAGAAGAAAUUAUUACUAGUAAUAAUAAGGUUACAAGAAGGGUGAAAUCUGAUGUUUAUAUGAACGCACAAGAUCGGCUGGAGUGCCUUAUGUUAAGCCGGAGAUCGGCUUCAGAUUUAUCGAUUUCGAAGCCGAGUAAUGGAGCUGUUGUUCAGCUGAAGAUGAAGCUGCCUAGAAGUGUCGUACAAAAGUUGAUUGAAGAAAGCAGAGAUGAAACAGAGGUUGCUGAGAAAAUUAUGGAUCUUUGUAUGCACAAUUCCUAAAAUUUACUUUGUUUUGCAUCUUUUUUUUUUGUUUGGUCGUGAAUUGCUAUAAACAAUAGGCUCAAAAUCUAGUUUCAAAAAUUGCAUAUAUAGUUUUAUAGAAAUUUCUGUUUAGUUGCUGUUAGUAUUGUUAUAAUUAGUGUUAUUUUUCAACAUUUUUUUUUCUCUGUGUUAAUGGAUUGAUUCGUGGUUUAGCUAAGGAUCUGAGAUCAUUUGUGACCAUUCGUCAAGUAUGACAAAUAUUCUUGUUGCUCUUAUCCAUCCCACUUCUAUUUUGUUUUUUUCUCUCCCUCCAAAUUUAUUUGAUUCCACUACGUUAAUUUUGCCUUUCGGUUUUGGUCGUUAUACAAUCUCGCGAGAUUAUAUUGAAUUUAAUUUUGUUAUUGUAAUUGUUAUUGUUACUAUUAUUUGAAAGAAUCUAUUCAAUUAAAAAAAAAAAUACUAUAUUUAGUAUAAUUACAAGGUCCUUUUUAUUUAUAUAUUAGAUUCUGUAAUCAGAAAAAAGAAAUUGUUAUCGAUUGCAUUAUCAUCGAGAGAAGUAAAUAAAUCCCUGACUGGAGUACUUCGAUUAAUUUUGUAUAGUUAAACUAAAAAAUGUACUUAUUUUUCAUGCGUAAGUAGAUAGAACUUCAUUGUUAUUAACCUUAGAAAAGAAUUGAAAGUAAAUUGAUUGAACAGUAAUUUAUUUGAUUUUAUUUAUCUUUUAGCCGAAACUAAAGACCCCACCCACCCCUUUUUCAAUUUUAAACCAUGCUUCAGUUUCUACCUUUAUCUGCCUUUUCCUAAACAAAUUGUACUUCCCGAUCCCUAUCCUACCUACUGUUUUCAGCUAUAUUGGUUGCAAUUGAUCUUCAAAUGGAAUUCCUUUUAACAACAAACAUAUUUGAGUUCGAUAAUUUUGAUUCAAAGACAGAUUUAUUUUAAAAUUUAAAGUUUUAUCUGUCAAUGAUUAUAGUAUAAUUUCAACCUCUUUUGAUAACAAAUAAUCUUUGAAAGUUUUUGUUCGACUCAAAUUCAAUUGAAAGCUUGAAGCUUUGUUCGUAAAAGAUUAUAGUAUUUUCAAUCUAUUUCAACAACUAAUUGAUAUGAACCAAAAAUUAAAAUCGAAUCUCUUGUUUUUAAUUGAAAACACAUGGUAUUGUAUUUUUUUUAAUUUGUAGAAUGACUGUAAAUGAAGAUGAAUUAAACAAACAUUUUUUUCUUUGUUUAAUUUAAUAGGUUUUGGGUUUAUGUUUGAAUGGAGAUAAAGGGCUAGCUUGUUUUUUAUUUUUAUUUUAAAUGUCAUCAUAUUUGUUCGAGGAUAUUGAAAAAGAAAGGAUUUUUUAAAAUUUUUGAAUAAAAAUAAAAAUAAAUUUGGCGUGUCUAUCCGUUAGCCCUGAGGUAUACACAAUUCAAUAAAAUUGACAUAAAAAUAUACACCAUCUUAAAGUUUAUAAGAGUGGUUAUUGACGUUAUUAGUAUCAUGAUUCAAGAUAUAUUUAUCAAACAUUAAUAAAUUGAACUAGAAACAAGGAAAACUACAACAACUCCAUUUAUUAAUGGAAUCCUAGGCUGAGUAUCUUUGACAAAUCUUUUUCUCUCGUCAUUCUUUAAAAACUUAUCAGUAAUAAUAGCAAUGGAGCAGCUACAUAUAUAUAUAUCUAUCUUAUCUCUCAUUCCCAACAAGAACAGCAGAAGAAGCAAAAAUGUGUCCUCAUGUGCUUCUCUUUCCCCUUCCAAUUCAAAGCCCUAUCAAUUCCAUGCUUCAACUUGCUGAGCUUUUUUGCCUUGCAGGUUUACAAGUUACUUUCCUCAACACGAAUCACAAUCAACAGCUUCUCUAUCGUCACACCGACGUCGAAUCUAGAUUCAGGCAAUAUCCUAAAUUUCAAUUCCGGACUAUUUCCGAUGGUCUUCCCGACGAUCAUCCCCGGUCGUCUCUUCUGUUUGGAGACCUUAUUACUUCCUUGCAAGCUGUGGCAGAGCCUUUUCUUAGAGAAAUAGUAACAGAAUCCGGUGUCACGUGUGUUAUACCUGAUGGAUUAUUUUAUUAUGCAGUGGAUAUUUGUAAUGAGCUUGGAGUUUCUGUUAUUUCAUUUGAUACUAUUAGUCCUUGUUGUCUAUGGGUUUAUCUCUGUUUCCCUAAACUCAUUCAAUCUGGAGAUAUUCCCUUCAAAGGUACUUUUCAUUUUUGGAAUUGUAUUAAUAUUAGUGAUUUAUGGCCAAGUAAAUUUUUUUUUAAUUAUGUUGUUAAGGAAAUGAUUUGGACGUGUUGAUAGAAAAUGUACCUGGCAUGGAAGAUCUUCUACGGCGUCGAGAUUUUCCAUUCUAUCGUCUCACCAAUUGUGCAACCGACCUCUAUUGUCAACUUGCUCUCAAGGAAAUCCAAAGUAUACCUCGAUCCCAUGGACUCAUAUUAAAUACAUUUGAAGAUUUAGACGGUCCGUUACUCUCUAAUAUUCGCACUCAUUGUCCACAAACAUAUGCGGUUGGACCGCUACAAUUGCAACUCAAAACU
RNAcentral lists this long non-coding RNA (7034 nucleotides) under Solanum lycopersicum (tomato). Its description in RNAcentral is "long non-coding RNA (SLYC_LNC001235)". Lineage: Eukaryota; Viridiplantae; Streptophyta; Magnoliopsida; Solanales; Solanaceae. The record is from RNAcentral.